GACGAACGCUGGCGGCGUGCCUAAUACAUGCAAGUCGAACGAGAGCGACCGGUGCUUGCACUGGUCAAUCUAGUGGCGAACGGGUGAGUAACACGUGGGUAACCUGCCCAUCAGAGGGGGAUAACAUCCGGAAACGGAUGCUAAAACCGCAUAGGUCUUCGAGCCGCAUGGCUUGAAGAGGAAAAGAGGCGCAAGCUUCUGCUGAUGGAUGGACCCGCGGUGCAUUAGCUAGUUGGUGAGGUAACGGCUCACCAAGGCCGUGAUGCAUAGCCGACCUGAGAGGGUGAUCGGCCACAUUGGGACUGAGACACGGCCCAAACUCCUACGGGAGGCAGCAGUAGGGAAUCUUCCGCAAUGGACGCAAGUCUGACGGAGCAACGCCGCGUGAGUGAAGAAGGUUUUCGGAUCGUAAAACUCUGUUGUUAGAGAAGAACAAGUGCUAGAGUAACUGUUAGCGCCUUGACGGUGUCUAACCAGAAAGCCACGGCUAACUACGUG
This 498-nucleotide ribosomal RNA is filed under the name uncultured bacterium. Its description in RNAcentral is "partial 16S ribosomal RNA". It matches the Rfam family "Bacterial small subunit ribosomal RNA", at positions 28 to 507 of the family's 1533-position model. The record is from RNAcentral.